This 241-nucleotide ribosomal RNA is filed under the name uncultured bacterium. RNAcentral describes it as "partial 16S ribosomal RNA". It matches the Rfam family "Bacterial small subunit ribosomal RNA", at positions 118 to 346 of the family's 1533-position model. The record is from RNAcentral.
UGGGUAACCUGCCUCAAAGAGGGGAAUAGCCUCCCGAAAGGGAGAUUAAUACCGCAUAAUAUGUUUAAGUCGCAUGACUUUAACAUCAAAGGAUUUCUUUUAGAAAUUCCACUUUGAGUUGGACCCGCGGCCUAUCAGCUUGUUGGUGAGGUAAUGGCUCACCAAGGCAACGAUGCGUAGCCGACCUGAGAGGGUGAUCGGCCACAUUGGAACUGAGACACGGUCCAGCUCCGUAGGACGG